GGCUAGGGGGCCAUCCCGGCUUACCAACCCGAUGCAAACUGCGAAUACCGGAGAAUGUUAUCACGGGAGACACACGGCGGGUGCUAACGUCCGUCGUGAAGAGGGAAACAACCCAGACCGCCAGCUAAGGUCCCAAAGUCAUGGUUAAGUGGGAAACGAUGUGGGAAGGCCCAGACAGCCAGGAUGUUGGCUUAGAAGCAGCCAUCAUUUAAAGAAAGCGUAAUAGCUCACUGGUCGAGUCGGCCUGCGCGGAAGAUGUAACGGGGCUAAACCAUGCACCGAAGCUGCGGCAGCGACACUGUGUGUUGUUGGGUAGGGGAGCGUUCUGUAAGCCUGUGAAGGUGUGUCGUGAGGCAUGCUGGAGGUAUCAGAAGUGCGAAUGCUGACAUAAGUAACGAUAAAGCGGGUGAAAAGCCCGCUCGCCGGAAGACCAAGGGUUCCUGUCCAACGUUAAUCGGGGCAGGGUGAGUCGACCCCUAAGGCGAGGCCGA
This 491-nucleotide ribosomal RNA is filed under the name Salmonella enterica subsp. enterica. RNAcentral's name for it is "partial 23S ribosomal RNA". It matches the Rfam family "Bacterial large subunit ribosomal RNA", at positions 917 to 1405 of the family's 2925-position model. Lineage: Bacteria; Pseudomonadati; Pseudomonadota; Gammaproteobacteria; Enterobacterales; Enterobacteriaceae. The record is from RNAcentral.